UUUUGAAGUGGGAGGGGAUGAUGUGAUCAUGGAAAGCACCAAGGAAUGGAAUCAUGAACCUGAUCAUGGAGAACUUGUAGCUGUGGAAGAACCUACACUUGAAGAAUGUUUGAGCCGAAAUAAAGCUUCUAUCAUCAGAGACAACUUGAUCUACAUUCAAGCUACUCUACACUCAAGCUGAUCAUCAUCUAGGCAAGUAGCUUGUGUGUACUCUUUUUCCCUUGAUUGGUUUUGUCCCACUGGGUUUUCCAAUCAAGGUUUUUAAUGAGGCCACAAGUUACUUCUCUUACCUCCUAGAUGAUUGAUCUUGGUCUGUCCACAUGAAGACCUUAUCUUAUAUUUUAAGCUAUGCUUUUAUGUUAUUUAGUUUUCGAAAAAACUCUAGUCUUUGUUGUGUUUCCAAGGGAGCUUUUGUCUUUAUUUUCCUUGUAUUUUCGAGACCUUGUGCAUGUACAAGGCUUCUCCUUUAUAUUCUGGUCGUGGCCCCUUGUAUCAGCAUCCAUCUUUUUAUCAAAAACCUUUGUUUUCUCUUUUCUUCUUGCUUGUCGAGUUGAGUGAGUGUUGGUGUGUAAUAUCCAACUUCUGGUGUGUAAUAUCCAGAGACUAAGGGCUCUAGUUUGGUGUGUCAUAUCCGAUCUAUUGCCUAGGAGUAUCAAGGAGCCUUUCCGCAGCCUUUUGUGUCACCAUUCGAUCCACAUACCUUGAGAAACUUGAGUCUUUUGAUUCGUUUCUGCAAGGAUUAUCCCAUCUGUUCCAGAGCAUCAUCCUAGGAUCUCAUCAAGUGGUAUCAGAGCAACUCUGGAAGGGAAGUGUGUUGAUUUCUCUAUGAUUUUCGAUUUGUCUCUUCAUAUUCAUGCUAGAAACUGAUAGAUCUGUGUUGUGGCUGUCGAAAUCUGAUAGAUUAAGGUUAUCUGAUUUCGUUUUUGUGUUAAAAACUCUUCAUAUACCUUGCUGAGAAAGUUUUCUGAUUUACUUGAUCAAUCUGUUUCUGUUUCUGAAAUUUCGAAUUGUUUCUGUCUUGAUCUACUCUGUUUUGAUUAAACUUGAUGUACUAGACUUGAAAGUGAACCUGAAAUCAAAAUCUCUCUGUUCUGUUUCGAAAUCAAUCUGAUCUGUUAGGUUUGUGAUUUAUCAGUUCUGUUCAGAUUAGUUUUGAUCUGUUUUAAAUCAUUGGUUGAGUUUUUAAUUUGUUCUGAGAAUUGUCUAAGGUUUUAAGCUUCAGUUUGAAUCUGUUUCUGGUUUUGCAAAUUGAUUUUUGUUUUCUCUGUAGAACUUGUUACUGCUGUGUGUUGUUUUCUGUCUCAGGUACUAUGGCAGGAGAUCAGGUUGCAAAAGAAGACUCAGCAGAAAAAGAACCAGAGAGUACAACACAAGAAGAACAACAGAAAAACUUGCAGACAGAAUCAGCUCAUGAAUCUUUGUCUUAUGAUCUGCAAGAGCACUGUAAGGAGUUUAAUAUGGUUGCUUCUGUGCCUAGAAUGUUUGUUAAAGUGAGUACUGAAGACAUAAAACGUUUUGGUCUUGAUAAAGUAAAAGAUUUUUUUGUUUCAAAAUCUGUUUUUGAUAACAUGUUUAAAUCUUUUAAAGAACUUAAACCAGUAAUCAUCUUUGAUCAAAAAAAUUUUCAAAAUCAAAAUAAUAACAUUUCUGGUCAUAUUCUGAGUUUUGAUCAUUUUCUGAAACAUGGCAAAAGUUUUGAUCAUUUUGAAAAGGUUUUAGAGCUUGAAUUGAAACAAUUUGAUUUCUGUUUGAAACCUUGUGAUUCAUUUGCUAGAACUGAAGAAAGGAGUUUUGUUACGAACUUCCAUGUGCAUAAACUGAUCCUUGAUAAUUCUUUUGUUUCUGCUUAUGUAUUGAAUGAACCUAAGAAGUUGCAGGAACCGAAAUUGCAUCAAUCUGAUUUUAGAUUUAAAUUUGUGAAAUCUGCAAAGUUCUCUGAGUUUGAGCUUGAUUGUUUGUGUGCUAAAAAUGAUUCUAAACGUGUAGGGUUGUUCUUUGAGGAUAUUCUAGUGUAUAACACUUUCUUUGAUAAACCUGUUGCACAAUUGAAACUAGAGUUCACUGAUUCUGAAUGUAUGAACUUAAUCCUUGAUGAUAUUUGGGUCUGCAAUAUUUUUGUUGAUAUGCAUAAUAAAUGGAGGAAUCAUGCUGUUUUGUGCUUUGGAGACAUUCUGGUCUACAACACUUUCUUUGACAUGAUAACACACUUGACUUGUCCAAAACAAGCUGAAAAAGGUACAGGUGAAGAAAGGGGCUAUAAUGAUCAGAGUAUCCAUGAUGAGUCCUUGGCUAAAUUGGAGAUGCAACAAUCAAAUCUUGGAAACUGUCUAGCCGCCAGGUUUAACAUAGGAGCAGUCCGAGGAUCAUAUCUCAGCAACCAGAAGGAAUUAAGCAACAAACUCAACUGCAAUGGAAACUACACUCAUCAGGGUCUCACGUCGAACUGGAAUCAUGUCCAAAGCUUCUCAAAUGAAAGAGUUAUGGGUUCUACAAGACGGGUGAUUCUGUGUUUGCUUUGUUUGAAUUUUUCUGAGUAUAGAACAUCUCAAUCCUAUAUAUGGCGACCAGGUGAGCAUGCUAAGGUAACCAAUCAUGUUUUCAAGAGUUCCUUUAUUGAUUACACAGAUAUGAUGCACUUGUUUUUGUCAAAAGAGUCAUGUGCAGAUUAUAUGGAAGCUUUGAAGCAUGCAAAGACAAAGAACAAGCGUGAGGAAGACAAACGUUUCAAGCCGCCUGAUCUAAGCCAGGAGAGACAUCAGGACGUCACUUGCUUCAUCCUCAUCAAAGAAGCACCUCCAGAUGCAACAUACAAGCCAAAACCGAGAAAAUAUAACUUUGGGAUAAGAAUCUUACUCUAUGAUGAUUUUGCUUGUGUUAACUUGUCUUGUUUCAAAGUAUCAGGUUUAAGUAAUGCCUCAGGAGUGAGGAAAGCCAAAUGGAUCAGUCCCUUCUACCUAAUAGAACCAGUCAGCGACAAUGCCUAUCAAAGAGGCUUGCAAGGUAAGUGUAAUCUGAUUAUAAACUCUGAUGUUACUGACUUGGUCCCUUCUAUUGCAGGUAACACAGAUUUGAGGACAAAUCUUUUUGAAGUGGGAGGGGAUGAUGUGAUCAUGGAAAGCACCAAGGAAUGGAAUCAUGAACCUGAUCAUGGAGAACUGAUGUGAUCAUGGAAAGCACCAAGGAAUGGAAUCAUGAACCUGAUCAUGGAGAACUUGUAGCUGUGGAAGAACCUACACUUGAAGAAUGUUUGAGCCGAAAUAAAGCUUCUAUCAUCAGAGACAACUUGAUCUACAUUCAAGCUACUCUACACUCAAGCUGAUCAUCAUCUAGGCAAGUAGCUUGUGUGUACUCUUUUUCCCUUGAUUGGUUUUGUCCCACUGGGUUUUCCAAUCAAGGUUUUUAAUGAGGCCACAAGUUACUUCUCUUACCUCCUAGAUGAUUGAUCUUGGUCUGUCCACAUGAA
RNAcentral lists this long non-coding RNA (3463 nucleotides) under Brassica napus (rape). RNAcentral describes it as "long non-coding RNA (BNAP_LNC023946)". Lineage: Eukaryota; Viridiplantae; Streptophyta; Magnoliopsida; Brassicales; Brassicaceae. The record is from RNAcentral.